GUGUCCAGGGCUUCGGCCUCGUCGUACUCACCGUUCUUGGCGGUCAGCAUCAGCACUGGCGUGGUGAUGCCCUGAGUUCGAAGCUCGGCGCACACCC
Molecule: transfer RNA, 97 nt
Filed under: Dactylosporangium vinaceum subsp. matsuzakiense
Lineage: Bacteria; Bacillati; Actinomycetota; Actinomycetes; Micromonosporales; Micromonosporaceae
Description: Dactylosporangium matsuzakiense tRNA-Lys
Source: RNAcentral